This 466-nucleotide ribosomal RNA is filed under the name Ptychadena neumanni. RNAcentral describes it as "partial 16S ribosomal RNA". It matches the Rfam family "Bacterial large subunit ribosomal RNA", at positions 1958 to 2604 of the family's 2925-position model. The record is from RNAcentral. Lineage: Eukaryota; Metazoa; Chordata; Amphibia; Anura; Ptychadenidae.
AGCACAAUCACUUGUUCUUUAAAUGAGGACUAGAAUCAAUGGCAUCACGAGGGUCCCACUGUCUCCUUUUUCUAAUCAGUGAAAUUGAUUUCCCCGUGAAGAAGCGGGGAUAAUUCUAUAAGACGAGAAGACCCCAUGGAGCUUCAAACUCAACGAAUAACUCUACAAUUAUGAUAUCUUAAGAGAUUUAUCCGUUAGUUUUGGGUUGGGGUGACCACGGAGAACAACCUAACCUCCGUAAUGAAAAGAAAUCAUAAUCUAAGAGCUACACCUCUAAGAAUUAACAAAUUAACAUAUAAUGAUCCAUUUUAUUGAUCAAUGAACCAAGUUACCCUGGGGAUAACAGCGCUAUCCACUUCUAGAGUCCAUAUCGCCAAGUGGGUUUACGACCUCGAUGUUGGAUCAGGGUGUCCGAGUGGUGCAGCCGCUACUAAACGUUUGUUCAACGAUUAAAACCCUACAUGAU